UACGAAGGGUGCAAGCGUUACUCGGAAUUACUGGGCGUAAAGCGUGCGUAGGUGGUCUUUUAAGUCCGUUGUGAAAUCCCCAGGCUUAACCUGGGAACUGCAUUCGAGACUGCAUUGCUAGAGUAUGGGAGAGGGAAGUGGAAUUUCCGGUGUAGCGGUGAAAUGCGUAGAUAUCGGAAGGAACAUCAGUGGCGAAAGCGACUUCCUGGACCAAUACUGACGCUCAUGUGCGAAAGCGUGGGGAGCAAACAGG
This 253-nucleotide ribosomal RNA is filed under the name uncultured bacterium. RNAcentral's name for it is "partial 16S ribosomal RNA". It matches the Rfam family "Bacterial small subunit ribosomal RNA", at positions 524 to 776 of the family's 1533-position model. The record is from RNAcentral.